UAAGGAAUAUUGGUCAAUGGACGCAAGUCUGAACCAGCCAUGCCGCGUGAAGGAUGAAGGUCCUCUGGAUUGUAAACUUCUUUUAUCUGGGACGAAAACGGGAUUUUUAUCUCAAUUGACGGUACCAGAGGAAUAAGCACCGGCUAACUCCGUGCCAGCAGCCGCGGUAAUACGGAGGGUGCGAGCGUUAUCCGGAUUUACUGGGUUUAAAGGGUGCGUAGGUGGGCUUAUAAGUCAGUGGUGAAAUCUCCGAGCUUAACUUGGAAACUGCCGUUGAUACUAUAGGUCUUGAGUUAUCUGGAGGUAAGCGGAAUAUGUCAUGUAGCGGUGAAAUGCUUAGAUAUGACAUAGAACACCAAUUGCGAAGGCAGCUUACUACAUAUAAAUUGACGCUGAGGCACGAAAGCGUGGGGAUCAAACA
Molecule: ribosomal RNA, 421 nt
Filed under: uncultured bacterium
Lineage: Bacteria
Description: bacterial SSU rRNA
Rfam family: Bacterial small subunit ribosomal RNA
Source: RNAcentral